RNAcentral lists this ribosomal RNA (506 nucleotides) under uncultured Burkholderiales bacterium. RNAcentral describes it as "bacterial SSU rRNA". It matches the Rfam family "Bacterial small subunit ribosomal RNA", at positions 8 to 507 of the family's 1533-position model. The record is from RNAcentral. Lineage: Bacteria; Pseudomonadati; Pseudomonadota; Betaproteobacteria; Burkholderiales.
AGAGUUUGAUCCUGGCUCAGAUUGAACGCUGGCGGCAUGCUUUACACAUGCAAGUCGAGCGGCAGCGCGGGGGCAACCCUGGCGGCGAGCGGCGAACGGGUGAGUAAUACAUCGGAACGUACCCAGGAGUGGGGGAUAGCCCGGCGAAAGCCGGAUUAAUACCGCAUACGAUCUAUGGAUGAAAGUGGGGGACCUGCAAGGGCCUCACGCUUUUGGAGCGGCCGAUGUCCGAUUAGCUAGUUGGUGGGGUAAAGGCCUACCAAGGCGACGAUCGGUAGCUGGUCUGAGAGGAUGAUCAGCCACACUGGGACUGAGACACGGCCCAGACUCCUACGGGAGGCAGCAGUGGGGAAUUUUGGACAAUGGGGGGAACCCUGAUCCAGCCAUGCCGCGUGCGGGAAGAAGGCCUUCGGGUUGUAAACCGCUUUUGGUCGGAAAGAAAAGGCCACGCCUAAUACGUGUGGUUCUUGACGGUACCGGCAGAAUAAGCACCGGCUAACUACGUG